UCGACGAAGCAUUUCUGCGGAAUCCCUUCGGGGAGGAAGUAGUUAUGACUGAGUGGCGGACGGGUGAGUAACGCGUGGGCAACCUGCCCCAUACCGGGGGACAACAGCUGGAAACGGCUGCUAAUACCGCAUACGUUUCGGAAACCGCAUGGUUUCUGGAAGAAAACUCCGGUGGUAUGGGAUGGGCCCGCGUCUGAUUAGCUGGUUGGCGGGGUAACGGCCCACCAAGGCGACGAUCAGUAGCCGGCCUGAGAGGGUGGCCGGCCACAUUGGGACUGAGACACGGCCCAGACUCCUGCGGGAGGCAGCAGUGGGGAAUAUUGCACAAUGGGGGAAACCCUGAUGCAGCGACGCCGCGUGAGCGAGGAAGUACCUCGGUAUGUAAAGCUCUAUCAGCAGGGAAGAAAAUGACAGUACCUGACUAAGAAGCCCCGGCUAACUACGUGCCAGCAGCCGCGGUAAUACGUAGGGGGCAAGCGUUAUCCGGAUUCACUGGGCGUAAAGGGAGCGCAGGCGGCACGGCAAGUCUGAUGUGAAAACCCAGGGCUCAACCCUGGGACUGCAUUGGAAACUGCCGGGCUGGAGUGUCGGAGGGGUAAGCGGAAUUCCUAGUGUAGCGGUGAAAUGCGUAGAUAUUAGGAGGAACACCAGUGGCGAAGGCGGCUUACUGGACGACUACUGACGCUGAGGCUCGAAAGCGUGGGGAGCAAACAGGAUUAGAUACCCUGGUAGUCCACGCCGUAAAC
RNAcentral lists this ribosomal RNA (746 nucleotides) under uncultured bacterium. RNAcentral's name for it is "bacterial SSU rRNA". It matches the Rfam family "Bacterial small subunit ribosomal RNA", at positions 62 to 807 of the family's 1533-position model. The record is from RNAcentral.